GUCACCCCUGUCCCCUGAAGGCCUGUCACCUGGCCUGUCCACCAGAGUGACAGCUCUGGCCCUGGCAGGCCUGGGGCCUCUCCCCAGGGGUUGGCCUGGCUGACUCCACCAAUCUUUGAGGCCCGGAGAAGAGCACCGGUGUCACCGCCCACUCCUCCUGACAGCCCGCAACGGUCCAUCAGUGUCGGGGGAAAAGGGUGGCCCUAAGGCUCCCCCCCCCCCCGCACACUCUCAGAAGCUGCUGGUUGCCAUAGGGAACCGAGGGGCAAGACAAGGAAGGAUGCCAGGGGUGGGCAGACGCGGGAAGGCAAGCCCUGGCUCAGCACCGCGGACUCCCUUCCCGAAGUCCCUCAGGCUCCGGCCAGUGGCCGCGCUGAUGAGGCUAUCAUCUCGGGAAAGCUGGUGCAGCGGCCAGGGCGCAGGGGCUGCCAGCCAGGCCUGCUGUCUAGGCGGCUCCACCUGGAUGCAGAAAGCGAGGCGGGCAGGGAGACGCAAUAGCCAGAAGAUUGGACCUGCAGACUUGGGGUCAUCACCACUGUGGGAGCCCAACGCAACCCCCCAACCGCUGUUUUGCUAAUCCCUCCCUAUGGCCAUAGCAAGCUAAGGAACACUUUCUUGUUAUUCUUAACCAUCGGUAGCCUAGGCUGGUCUCAAACACAGUAAAUAGUUAGAAAAUGACUUUAAACUUCUGAUCCUCCACCUCUCAAGAGAUGAGAUUAUAGGCUUGUGUGUUCCACACCCCGUGCG
This 747-nucleotide long non-coding RNA is filed under the name Mus pahari (shrew mouse). RNAcentral's name for it is "lncRNA (MGP_PahariEiJ_G0012152.1)". The record is from RNAcentral. Lineage: Eukaryota; Metazoa; Chordata; Mammalia; Rodentia; Muridae.